CACGAGCGCACCCUUAUCCUUAUUUGCCAGCACGUAAUGGUGGGAACUCUAAGGAGACUGCCGGUGAUAAACCGGAGGAAGGUGGGGACGACGUCAAGUCAUCAUGGCCCUUACGAGUAGGGCUACACACGUGCUACAAUGGCGCAUACAAAGGGCUGCAAACCAGCGAUGGUAAGCGAAUCCCAUAAAGUGCGUCGUAGUCCGGAUUGGGGUCUGCAACUCGACCCCAUGAAGUCGGAAUCGCUAGUAAUCGUGAAUCAGAAUGUCACGGUGAAUACGUUCCCGGGCCUUGNACACACCGCCCGU
Molecule: ribosomal RNA, 306 nt
Filed under: uncultured bacterium
Lineage: Bacteria
Description: bacterial SSU rRNA
Rfam family: Bacterial small subunit ribosomal RNA
Source: RNAcentral